Molecule: long non-coding RNA, 2407 nt
Organism: Bombus pyrosoma
Lineage: Eukaryota; Metazoa; Arthropoda; Insecta; Hymenoptera; Apidae
Exons: 2
Source: RefSeq, a predicted model, not a curated record
UUUAGUAAAAUAAAUGCAUACUUUGUAUAGGGAAUGAAAGGUUUAACAAAAAACAGAGUGACGAUAUAAUAUAUGUAAAUAAGAUUAUAAAUAAGAAUAUAAAUAAAAACAUUGUUAUGAUUGCUGCUUGCGAUCUAAAUCGCUGCAGCUUUGUUGGCGCUUGCAUGUGUGUGCCGACGAAGAACUAAUUAGUUCGAAGGACCACCUUCGUUCAGGGAAAAGAAAACAGUGUAUGUGGUUAACUAUUUAAUAGAACUAUUUACGCAAUACUGAGAGCUGCUCAGUAAUCGUAUCUAAUAUUGCGCGUAACUAUUCUGUAUAAACUAUCUUGCGCGAGUGUUCUAACUAUUCGAUGUAUGGAUGAUUCUAAAUUAACAAAGUUCAACCGUUCGAGUCGUUCUGAUUGCUUCGACUUCUCCCUUUCACAGCCAAUUUCAAGGAGGAGUGAAAACCGAGCGCAAGCAAUGUCGUAUUUAAUGGACAUUGUUUUGGUAACCUUGGAGAUUUCCACGAUUGCGUUAGUUUAUGGUCACCGAGGACUGUUACGGCCAGAUAUACGUAUAUAAUGGGAAAAACCAUUAACUGUGAGGCCUGAGUUGCUAUAAACGCACGUGAAUAGUUACUAAUUACUCGGAGACCCGAUGACCAACUAUCGGUAAUUAAUAACACAGGAGUUUGUAACAAAGAAAUCUUAAUGGAUAGACAGGAUAACAUCAACAGACAUUCACUUUCCAAGGGGGAUAGAAACUUAAACACUUAUAAAAUUGAACAUAUUUGUUGGCGUAAAUAUUUAUUGUAAAAAAUAUAGCAAUUUCGCAGGAAGAAUAAAGAUAGUACAAUUAAAAUGAUGCAAAUUUAAUGAGAACGCCGAAGAUUACAUUGCGAUAUAUACAAAAUGAGUUUAAUUUAAUCGAUAAUGAUAAAUGAAAUCGUAAGAAACAUGAAUAAUUGGGUGCUAUUGUUGAUCGUGUAUGCUAUAUACAUGUACGCAACAUAAAAAAUAUCCUACUUAGAAUUUAAGAGGCUAAUGUAACAAAAUCUUAUUAUCUGUACUUCUUCUGGUUGGAAGACGUACCAAAUAAUAAAAUAAUAUAUUUGUAUAAUUGUUUCGUUGCAUACAUACGAUUAGAAUUGUAACCCUGACGUAAGAAGAUUUCAACGAAUUAAAAAAAUUCUCUGCUUUCACGAUGGUGAUACAUUGAAGCACAUAGAGUUUAAUAAGCGGCUUAAUAACUGUAUCCUAUGUAUAUCCCUAUACAAAUAUCUCUAUAGCGUUUACGUAUCAAUAAACUGUAAAUAUUAACAUGUAACAGUAUAAAACUGUUUCUCUGCAGCAAACAUCAUAUUUUUUUGCUACUUUUCCUCGAUUUUUAUCACGCUUAAUGGUAUUUUAUUUCUAUGCAUAACAAAUAUGGCUGCGGUUGGCGAAAACACUCAAAAGUAAACCGCAGACCAUGUUCUAUGAUUAAAUAUAAACAAUACACCGUACAAUCUACAGAAAAGACUACCAGUCUCUUCGUAAUCUGCUCGAUAGCAGUACAUAAUUAAAAUGAUAUAAACGUUUAAGUAAAUAAAUGUUAGGCGGGAUUUUUAAGAAGAAGAUAACAGUUUAUACACCUGCCGCGAUAACCGAAAGCAAAAAUUACAUAGGAAGAAAUUAGUAUUAUGAAAAGAACUUCGUAGAAAAUGUUUCCUAUGUGAAAAAAAUAUUUGUUUAAGCGUUAGUUAAUAUCUGUUCAACGUAAUAUAGAUUAUACGAUAAGUUACAACGUUAAAUAUGUAGAAAAUAUCGAUAAUGAAGUUUUCAUUUAAUGAGAGUAAUCCAAAUUAUUUAACGAUAUCACCGUAAUCGUUUCUUUUCUAUUAAAUACAGUACGAGAAAAAGAAAAAAAAAAGAGAAGAAAUAGAAUAUUCAUACAACGAUCUCACACGAUUUAGACAAAAUAGGUUUCCUAUAUAGUUUAAUUUACAUUUAAAAAUUACGUUAGAAAAAACAAAUUUGACCUGUAGUAAUACAAGUCACACGGAGACGCGAAUUUCCCGAUUCGUCCAGUGUAGUUAUAAUGCAAUCACUUUUCUCUAUUAGUGUUUGAUAAGUAUAAAAUAUAUAAAUUUCUGCUACCUCUGUAUAUCUUGUCAUAUUUAUCAUCACGUAGAGCUAGCAUGUAACCGUUGUUUUUUAAUUUUCUAUUAUAUAACCAUUAUAUGAUGUAUUAUAUAAAUAUUUUAUAAACGUAGUAGUAAUGUUACAUUAUUUACAAACAUAUGAUUGAAGUCUGCUUAGAGAUUGAGAACUUAAUAAUCUGAAAUAUUUUCCCUUGCAUUUUGUGUUUAUUUGAAAUCCGAAUUUAAUGUAACAAUUUGGGUUUGCAUUAUUACUUUCAUUAAAAAAAAAAAAAAAAAAAAA